Long non-coding RNA from Numida meleagris (helmeted guineafowl), 1222 nucleotides. RefSeq lists it as uncharacterized. The record is from RefSeq and is a predicted model, not a curated record. The transcript has 2 exons. Lineage: Eukaryota; Metazoa; Chordata; Aves; Galliformes; Numididae.
GGCCAAGGCCUGGGCGUACUGAGGGGGUGGGGCUGAGUUUGAUCACCCCCCACCCGCUGACGUUUGGGGGCGGGGCUUGUCUUUAGCCCCGCCUGUUGCUGUAUGCAAAUAGCUCUGAUGGUUAAUGAGGGUGUGGUCUUACCCUGACCCACUCACCUAACUGGGUGUGUCGUGGGGGGUGUGGUUUAUUUCAUUAGCCCUGCCCCUUCUACAUCUACAAAUGGAGUGGCUUUGGGGGGGUGUGGCCUCUAUUAGCCCGACCCCCUUUUCCUCAACCAAUUAGAUUGGUUUGUGGGGGCAUGGCUUCUUUCAUCCCUGCCCCCUUUUCCAAUAAACUAUGGGCUGGGUGCGCCCUUUUCUCAAUGACCAAUUAGAUUGGCUCAUGGGGGCGUGAUUUAUUUUGGCCCCGCCCCCUUUUCCAACACUUUCACCACAUGGGGGUGUGGCUUCUGUUAGCCCCGCCCCUUUCUCAAUAAGCAGUUGGAUUGGCUCUUGGUGGCGUGGCUUUGAUAAAAGCCCCACCCCCUUCUCAAUAAACACUGGAGUGGCUACUGGGGGCGUGGCCUCUGAUAGCCCCGCCCCUCUCCUUGUACAGAAUAGGAAUUGUCCCUGGGGGCGUGGCCUCUUAUAGCCCCGCCUUCUCUAUAUACACUUGGGGUGGCUCCCGGGGGCGUGGCCUAUGUUAGCCCCCCCCUUAUUGUACAGUAGUGCUCCCUGGGGGCGUGGUCUCUGAUAGCCCCACCCCUUCAUUUCCAUAUGAGGUGCACCCUCUGUUAGCCACGCCCUCAAUCCCCCCCUCCCCCCAUUGCAAUCCCUGCAGUCCCACCCCAACCCAAACCACCCCAUUGUGUGCAUCCCCCCCAUAUAUCACCCCACGGUCUCCGUGACCCCGCCCCACCUGGCGCCCACGGGGGGACAGCCCGGCGUCCCCCCCGAUGCGUCCCCACAGGUUGAGCUGGCUCUCCCCGUGGCGGCUCAGGUAGAUGGUGCGCGGCGUGACGUGCGUGUUCAUCAGGUAGUACACCGUCCGGCUCUGCACGUGGCCCUGCACCCGGUUCGCCAGGUACCGCACCCCCACGUCGAAGAUCUUGAUGGUCGUCACAGAUGGACUCGACGAACAGGACCUGGAGGGGAAGCAGGGUGUGUGCCCCCCCCACAUCAAAAUGCAAGAAGUUCCCUCCUCAAUCCCCAUGCCUUGACUUCCCCCCCCCCAAAAAAAAAA